This 231-nucleotide ribosomal RNA is filed under the name uncultured bacterium. RNAcentral describes it as "partial 16S ribosomal RNA". It matches the Rfam family "Bacterial small subunit ribosomal RNA", at positions 103 to 334 of the family's 1533-position model. The record is from RNAcentral.
CGGGUGAGUAGCACGUAUCCAACCUGCCGUCUACUCUUGGACAGCCUUCUGAAAGGAAGAUUAAUACAAGAUGGCAUCAUGAGUUCACAUGUUCACAUGAUUAAAGGUAUUCCGGUAGACGAUGGGGAUGCGUUCCAUUAGAUAGUAGGCGGGGUAACGGCCCACCUAGUCUUCGAUGGAUAGGGGUUCUGAGAGGAAGGUCCCCCACAUUGGAACUGAGACACGGUCCAA